AUUGUGCAUUCUUCAAUAUGGGUGUAAUUUGAGAUAAAAAAGAAAGAUUUUGACAGAGGAAAUACAGGGCCUAAUGAGAAACACAUGCAUCAACAUUUGUGUCAGCAAUGACGUAUACCCAACCAACACACCCAAACAAUCUUAACUUCUCCGACGGAUACAUUUUGCACUUCAUGGUACAGUAAGCAAUACCUAAAUGCACUUAUAAUGCCCCAUUUGUUUUUUUAAAUCACAGUGAAAAUGUUGUCAAUAUUAACACAGAAAGAACAUAAGAAAAACAUACCUAAAUUAUUCCAACGGCACAGUGCUACAUAAAGCCUUUGAAAGGAACACAUCUCCAGGGAAGACAUCUCCACACGGACUGAAUCUUGAGAAAGAGUACACAAGAUGCUGACAAACCCGCAGUUUGAAAAAAAAAAAAACGACUAAACACAUUAUGUUAAUAUUUAAUGUUGCUGUUCCUCAGGAGGCCACUCUGAGUUGCAUUAGGGCUGUGUGAGAGGGUCUGAGGGGAGGUUUUAUUAGGGCUGUGUGAGAGUGUCUGAGGGGAGGUUUUAUUAGGGCUGUGUGAGAGUGUCUGAGGGGAGGUUGUAUUAGGGCUGUGUGAGAGUGUCUGAGGGGAGGUUGUAUUAGGGCUGUGUGAGAGGGUCUGAGGGGAG
Molecule: long non-coding RNA, 659 nt
Organism: Oncorhynchus tshawytscha (Chinook salmon)
Lineage: Eukaryota; Metazoa; Chordata; Actinopteri; Salmoniformes; Salmonidae
Source: Ensembl